Molecule: long non-coding RNA, 2504 nt
Organism: Anguilla rostrata (American eel)
Lineage: Eukaryota; Metazoa; Chordata; Actinopteri; Anguilliformes; Anguillidae
Exons: 2
Source: RefSeq, a predicted model, not a curated record
UACUGAACCCGUGUUCAGCAGUUGUCUACGAUCAUGAAAAUGCACUUUUGUACGUCACUUUGGAUAAAAGCGUCUGCCAAAUGAAUGUAAUGUAAUGUAAUGUAAUAUGUUGUCUUCUUCCAAAAUAGUAAUACUGAAUACUUAUGUAAGAAUAAUGUUUGCAUAUGCUUUUUUUGUGUCAUUUCCCUUUAUUUCAUAAAUGCUAAUUUGGGUUUUGGGGACUGAGAAGACCAUGAUAUAUGGAUGACAUCAGUCAGCCUCCGUGGGCAGGUGCCUUGUCUUCUUGAAAGACACUCCUCUCUGCAGGAAGCGCUUUAACGUGGGGUGAAGUUGAUCCCACAGUACCAUUAGGUGAUUUGUCUUUUUCUUCUGUGGGUAUCGGUGCACCCAAACCAUAUCAGGAAUUGCAGAACUGCCAGAGCCAUUAUGUGUUGGAACAGUUUCCAUUUUCAUAUUCACAUCCUGUAUAUGCAAAAUACACACCAUAUACUUUAAAUGGGAACUUCAACCUAAAAUCUAUUUUUGAUGAUAACCUGAAUUGUUAAUCCCUUAUGGUUUAAAAGAACUGCUAAUUACAACAUACUACUUUUCUAGAUAUGUAUCUCCUUCUAGAAAAACCUGCUCAAGUGAUGCAUCUUGUAUGACAGGGGAAGCCACACCCAUUCUCAAUGUAAUAAUGAUGCAAAGUUGGGUCAAGAGGUGUACUCUACAUGCAGGAUGAGGCAAGUGAGACAUCUAAACAACCACAACUUAUAAAAAUGUAUGAUUUUUUUUUUUUUAAAAACCUUCCCACACUGGAAGGAUCAAUACAAUACACUGCUGUAACUUUAAAUUAGGGUAUAGCCCUCCUUUAUCAUAAACAUAUCUGUUGUAUAUGGAAUUGUGCCAAGAUCCAUCACCAUCAACGAUGUGAAGAAGUACAAACUGAACCCUGUGUGUCAGUGCCCCCCACCUCCCCCCAUACAUCCACUCCCACAUACAGCAGGCAGACUGCCACCCUCAUUUUACAUGAAAAUAAAAGGGAAGAAACACUUUGCUUCUCUGCUAUCUUCAGAUUGCAACUAUCCAUAUUGAUCUGUUGUUCUUAUAUUUCCUUUUUUCCCCCUGCUUUGUGUUUUGUGGCCUAAGUGUUUUUUUUGUUUUGUUUUGUUUUUUUUCCAGAGCAGCUGGGAGACCAGGCGAGUGCAGAACUGUGUGUGCGUGUGUGUGUGUGUGUCGGUCUGUCUGUCUGUGUGUACAUAUGUCUGAGCGCCUCUGGAUGAAAACAGAAUCCAAGGCUGAAGAGCAUACUGACCGUCAGCCAUCUGUCUGAGAGCUCAGAUUUAUACCUUCCCCUAUCUUCAUAUUUCAGCCACAGCCCCUGUUCCCCCCUGAAGAAAACAUCGCCUUAAAUGCGGGGGGCCACGCGGACAGGAGCGAAGUGCAAUGAUAUCUGAAGGUCCUCCUCUUGCCAGCUCACUGUCUCCCAUCUGGUUGAAUUUAUCUACAAUCUGAAACGUGCAAGAUAUCAAAUGACUCAUUUCACAGUUGGUGCAGAUCGUAUUCAUUUGUCAGGGGGAGACACCUGAGAGCAUAUGGCGACAAACCAGAAGUGACGGAACUCCACAGUAAAGUCUGAAUGUGACUAUAUUAAAAACCCACAAUGUAAGAUGGCAAUCUCUUAUGAGCAGCAUUACAAGAUUGGAUUACAUGGAGACAUUCUUAAAUCAUGUUGAAGGAGUGGGAGGAGCCAGGGGAGAGAGCCCAGGCGGCAGCAGGAGGAAGACCAUUUUAAUACCAGUUUAGGGGAAGACAACACCUGCACAGAGUUUCAGAGUUCUGUUCAGAAUGCUAAUCGCCUCAAAGAUGACAUAAAUUAAAGCUUGUUUCACUAGGGAGUCUGUAAACAGAUACUAUUAAAAUUGUUUUAAUCUGAAUAAUAUUUAAAUUAUAAUCUGGUUGGUCAAGAUGACAUCAGUCGAUACUGCAGUGGUUGGUCAUGUGUCAAGCUGCUAGGCAAUUACGCAUACUACUUUAUUUCAUGUUGUAUAUGUAAGACAUCUCAUUAGGUGGAAAAAUAAAUGUGUGUCCUCUUCGGCAGCCAGCUGAAGCAUUAUCUCUUUUACCUUUCUCCUCCUGUCAGGCACAAAGCUGGAGUGCAGAGUUAAACAUAAUAAAUCCUGUAUUCAAGUUGAAGCAUCCAGUAUUGCAUGUACCUCAAAAAAUUGCUUGUAUGAGCAAUGGUGGAGGGUUAAUGCGUGCCGUUCACACAGACAUGCAUACCACGAGGUGCUUAAUACAAAUACCUGUGAGUGGUGCAGUGAUUAAUCAGAAUGAAUAUGAGGAGGAGGUGGGGGUUGGGUAGAUGCAAGUUGGCAUUUCAGUCAUAGGGAAAGUCAUGUCCCUACAAUGUUAUUUAUGUAAAAAUGAGGGUACAAAAUGAAAAGGACACAAGAAUUAUUACCUCUCUUUCACUUAGCAGUUUGCCCCCAUAAGACAUGAUGAAAUAAAGUGCUGUCUGUGCA